Molecule: ribosomal RNA, 497 nt
Filed under: uncultured bacterium
Lineage: Bacteria
Description: partial 16S ribosomal RNA
Rfam family: Bacterial small subunit ribosomal RNA
Source: RNAcentral
GAUGAACGCUGGCGGCGUGCCUAAUAAAUGCAAGUCGAGCGAACAGACGAGGAGCUUGCUCCUCUGACGUUAGCGGCGGACGGGUGAGUAACACGUGGGUAACCUACCUAUAAGACUGGGAUAACUUCGGGAAACCGGAGCUAAUACCGGAUAAUAUAUUGAACCGCAUGGUUCAAUAGUGAAAGACGGGUUUGCUGUCACUUAUAGAUGGAUCCGCGCCGCAUUAGCUAGUUGGUAAGGUAACGGCUUACCAAGGCAACGAUGCGUAGCCGACCUGAGAGGGUGAUCGGCCACACUGGAACUGAGACACGGUCCAGACUCCUACGGGAGGCAGCAGUAGGGAAUCUUCCGCAAUGGGCGAAAGCCUGACGGAGCAACGCCGCGUGAGUGAUGAAGGUCUUCGGAUCGUAAAACUCUGUUAUUAGGGAAGAACAAAUGUGUAAGUAACUAUGCACGUCUUGACGGUACCUAAUCAGAAAGCCACGGCUAACUACGUG